AACCUUUACACUGCACGACAGUGCGAUAAGGGAAUCCCAAGUGCGUAGGCAUAGAGCCUACGCUUUUGUCCACCGUAGGGAGGUGGACGAAUAAGGGCUGGGCAAGACCGGUGCCAGCCGCCGCGGUAAUACCGGCAGCCCGAGUGAUGGCCGAUCUUAUUGGGCCUAAAGCGUCCGUAGCUGGCCGCGCAAGUCUAUCGGAAAAUCCACCCGCUCAACGGGUGGGCGUCCGGUAGAAACUGCGUGGCUUGGGACCGGAAGGCGCGACGGGUACGUCCGGGGUAGGAGUGAAAUCCCGUAAUCCUGGACGGACCGCCGAUGGCGAAAGCACGUCGCGAAGACGGAUCCGACAGUGAGGGACGAAAGCUAGGGUCUCGAACCGGAUUAGAUACCCGGGUAGUCCUAGCCGUAAACAAUGCCUGCUAGGUGUGGCUCCCACUACGAGUGGGUGCUGUGCCGUAGGGAAGCCGCUAAGCAGGCCGCCUGGGAAGUACGUCCGCAAGGAUGAAACUUAA
Molecule: ribosomal RNA, 515 nt
Filed under: uncultured archaeon
Lineage: Archaea
Description: bacterial SSU rRNA
Rfam family: Archaeal small subunit ribosomal RNA
Source: RNAcentral